GACGAACGCUGGCGGCGUGCUUAACACAUGCAAGUCGAACGGGCCUGUCCUGGUUUUUGCUGGGGUGGGUUAGUGGCGAACGGGUGAGUAACACGUGAGUAACCUGCCCCUCACUUCUGGAUAACCGCUUGAAAGGGUGGCUAAUACGGGGUGUUCUGGCUGUGCCGCAUGGUGUGGUUGGGAAAGAUUCACUAUUUGUUUGGUGUUUUGGUGGGGGAUGGGCUCGCGGCCUAUCAGCUUGUUGGUGGGGUGAUGGCCUGCCAAGGCUUUGACGGGUAGCCGGCCUGAGAGGGUGGGCGGUCACACUGGGACUGAGACACGGCCCAGACUCCUGCGGGAGGCAGCAGUGGGGGAUAUUGCACAAUGGGCGGAAGCCUGAUGCAGCGACGUCGCGUGAGGGAUGGAGGCCUUCGGGUUGUGAACCUCUUUCGCCGGUGAAGAAGGUCCUGCUUUUUGGGUGGGGUUGACGGUAGCCGGGUUAUGAAGCGCCGGCUAACUACGUGCCAGCAGCCGCGGUAAUACGUAGGGCGCGAGCGUUGUCCGGAAUUAUUGGGCGUAAAGGGCUUGUAGGCGGCUGGUCGCGUCUGUCGUGAAAUCCUCUGGCUCAGCUGGGGGCGUGCGGUGGGUACGGGCUGGCUUGAGUGCGGUAGGGGAGGCUGGUACUCCUGGUGUAGCGGUGGAAUGCGCAGAUAUCAGGAGGAACACCGGUGGCGAAGGCGGGUCUCUGGGCCGUUACUGUACGCUGAGGAGCGAAAAGCGUGUGGAGCGAACUGG
RNAcentral lists this ribosomal RNA (774 nucleotides) under uncultured Actinomyces sp. Its description in RNAcentral is "bacterial SSU rRNA". It matches the Rfam family "Bacterial small subunit ribosomal RNA", at positions 28 to 776 of the family's 1533-position model. The record is from RNAcentral. Lineage: Bacteria; Bacillati; Actinomycetota; Actinomycetes; Actinomycetales; Actinomycetaceae.